GUCAGUGUGGCGUAGUGCUUUGAGUGUAAGACUAGGACUCUGGAGACCAGGGUUCAAAUUCUGGCUCGGCCA
Non-coding RNA from Phrynosoma platyrhinos (Desert horned lizard), 72 nucleotides. The record is from the annotation of a GenBank genome assembly. NCBI's taxonomy places the organism in Eukaryota, Metazoa, Chordata, Lepidosauria, Squamata, Phrynosomatidae.